This 1086-nucleotide unclassified non-coding RNA is filed under the name Hevea brasiliensis (rubber tree). The record is from RNAcentral. Lineage: Eukaryota; Viridiplantae; Streptophyta; Magnoliopsida; Malpighiales; Euphorbiaceae.
UCCUUAUUCCUGCUUGUGACGAUGACAGUUCCACCAUAGCCCUUUGGCAACCCAUAAGCAAGGUGUUGGUCCCACUUAACAUGGCGAGGUAGUGAAGCAUUCAAGUUGCUGUACCAGUACCAGUCUCCAGUAUCCUGCGCAUCAUCCAACACGAUCAGAUACCUCUUGCGCAUCAACUCCACAUGAAGAGCACAAAGUAACCCAGCAAGGCCAUGCUCGUCUAAAAUGGUUUUCACCAUCUCCCCUUCGACUCCAAGAGAAUUUAACAUUCUUUUCACAAUUGCUCUCUUCGGAUCAUUAUCUUCUUCGUUGUCCUUCGUUGACAUGUGAACCCAAAUCCUGGGAACAAAGUGGUUCUUCACUUCUGGUUUGGUCAGAAUAAGUUGGCAUAGUGUGGUUUUCCCAGCACCUCUCAUUCCUACAAUUCCAACUGUCUUGAAAUAAUCAAUACUCCCUCGUCGAACCAGCAAUUUCUCCAGAUGCGUUAUUUCAUCAUCGAACCCAUAAACCUUUGGUGGAGCCUCAGAGCGAGAACUCAAGCGAUGAAAUUCUCUAGCAUCAGAUAAGCUCGCUUGGAGUUGGCCAUUAUUCUGGGGUAGAUCAAGGUUUCCAUUUGGAUUGUUGUCGUCGGAGGGUUUAAUAUUUUCUAUCUCUGCCUUGAUCUUUGACAAAUUCUGCUUAAUUUUAAAGACAGUGGGUGAAAGUAGAGUAUUCUUGCCUGAAAGUGCCUGGCAUUCACUGAAAACGUCGUUGAGGGAGUAGAGAUAUGCUCUGAGUACGGGGACAUCUGAAGAAGAGCAAGAAACAAGCUUUUCCUUAAGCAACCCCUUGAGAUCUUUGAAUUCUUUAGCUAAGGGAACUUUAGGAGAUUCAAGGCCUUCUCCGAGUUUCUUCAGUAGAUACUUUUCAAUCUCCUGAGACAUAGCAGCUGUUAGACUCUUCAGCGAUUUGGAAGUCACCGGCAAAUCUUCCAGGUCUAUUAAUGGUUUUUUGCCCAGUGCAGAAAAAAAAAUCGCCCUGUGAUAUGGUAGAGAGAAAUUAUUUGCGGAGACUUUUGAGAGCUGGGUCUUCGAUCUUGGAGAUGAU